GCUGAGUUAGCUCAAUUGGUAGAGCAACUGUAUCGUAAACAGUAGGUUAUGAGUUCGAUUCUCAUACUCAGCU
Molecule: transfer RNA, 73 nt
Filed under: Candidatus Dojkabacteria bacterium
Lineage: Bacteria
Description: tRNA-Thr
Rfam family: tRNA
About the family: Transfer RNA (tRNA) molecules are approximately 80 nucleotides in length. Their secondary structure includes four short double-helical elements and three loops (D, anti-codon, and T loops). Further hydrogen bonds mediate the characteristic L-shaped molecular structure. tRNAs have two regions of fundamental functional importance: the anti-codon, which is responsible for specific mRNA codon recognition, and the 3' end, to which the tRNAs corresponding amino acid is attached (by aminoacyl-tRNA synthetases). tRNAs cope with the degeneracy of the genetic code in two manners: having more than one tRNA (with a specific anti-codon) for a particular amino acid; and 'wobble' base-pairing, i.e. permitting non-standard base-pairing at the 3rd anti-codon position.
Source: RNAcentral